This 476-nucleotide ribosomal RNA is filed under the name uncultured organism. Its description in RNAcentral is "partial 16S ribosomal RNA". It matches the Rfam family "Bacterial small subunit ribosomal RNA", at positions 332 to 799 of the family's 1533-position model. The record is from RNAcentral.
UACACUCCUGCGGGAGGCAGCAGUGGGGAAUAUUGCACAAUGGGCGCAAGCCUGAUGCAGCCAUGCCGCGUGUAUGAAGAAGGCCUUCGGGUUGUAAAGUACUUUCAGCGGGGAGGAAGGCAAUACGGUUAAUAACCGUGUUGAUUGACGUUACCCGCAGAAGAAGCACCGGCUAACUCCGUGCCAGCAGCCGCGGUAAUACGGAGGGUGCAAGCGUUAAUCGGAAUUACUGGGCGUAAAGCGCACGCAGGCGGUCUGUCAAGUCGGAUGUGAAAUCCCCGGGCUCAACCUGGGAACUGCAUUCGAAACUGGCAGGCUUGAGUCUUGUAGAGGGGGGUAGAAUUCCAGGUGUAGUGGUGAAAUGCGUAGAGAUCUGGAGGAAUACCGGUGGCGAAGGCGGCCCCCUGGACAAAGACUGACGCUCAGGUGCGAAAGCGUGGGGAGCAAACAGGAUUAGAUACCCUUGUAGUCCCAUG